GGCGAACGGGUGAGUAACACGUGGGUGAUCUGCCCUGCACUUCGGGAUAAGCCUGGGAAACUGGGUCUAAUACCGGAUAGGACGAUGGUUUGGAUGCCAUUGUGGAAAGUUUUCGGUGCAAGAUGAGCUCGCGGCCUAUCAGCUUGUUGGUGGGGUAAUGGCCUACCAAGGCGUCGACGGGUAGCCGGCCUGAGAGGGUGUACGGCCACAUUGGGACUGAGAUACGGCCCAG
This 232-nucleotide ribosomal RNA is filed under the name uncultured Actinomycetales bacterium. RNAcentral's name for it is "partial 16S ribosomal RNA". It matches the Rfam family "Bacterial small subunit ribosomal RNA", at positions 97 to 334 of the family's 1533-position model. The record is from RNAcentral. Lineage: Bacteria; Bacillati; Actinomycetota; Actinomycetes; Actinomycetales.